UGGUGCAAAAUCAUGCAACACACAACCCAGGCUUAGCACGAUGGGUCCAGGAAAAGAGUAAACACUUGGGAGAACAAACUUCAUACAGGUGGGCACAACAAAGAGGAAUCCUUGUCACCCAUGAUGAUAUUGCCACUGCAGUACAACAAUGUCAAUUAUGCCAACAGCUAAAUAAACAGGGAGUUCCACACCCCCACCAAGGUCGUAUUCAAAAGGGAUUAUUUCCCGCCCAUAUCUGACAAAUAGAUUUUAUUGGACCAUUGCCAAAUUCUUGUGGCUAUGUUUAUGCCUGCACUGCUGUUGAUACAUAUUCUGGUUAUUUAUUAGCUAUGCCGGCUAAAGCAGCGACCCAACAGAGUGCCAUAAAAUUCUAUGAAACAACAAGACAAAUUCAGAGAGACAACAGUUCCCACUUUACAGGUAGAUAUUCCUGCUGUGCUCGCUAUGCUAUGCUACAACUCCAUGUCUGCUGCAGACCUACACCCCAACUAAUGUCUCCAUAGGACAACCUUUUGACCCUGCACUGUUGGACCAACUGCUCUACACCAGUGGGACCUGUAACCUGGACUAUGAAUGGCCGAGAAGUUUGGUCUCAGAAACAUCAAGCAACUUCUCAGUAUAAGACUAUAUCUGAUCAAUCACACAAAACUAGUUAUAAUUUCUCUACUACCCUGCCUUCUGCUACCCUCCGUGAUGGGGGCUGGUCUGAACUUCUACAAGCUAAUUUGUUAGGCCUAGGUGUUACUGUAUCUAAUGUUAUCUUUGAUGCUGUACAUGAUUUGCAAGAUCAAGUUAAUAACAUUUCGUAUCCUAGGGGAUUGUUUAUUGGUUACCUUGGAGUUUAGGUCCUUUAUUGGGAGAUAGUUUUAUAAUUAUUGUAGUCAUUGGAUUUUGGAUUCUUGGAUGUGCCUUGUGUACUUGUGUACGAAGUUCAUUGUCUGUGCAUAUGGUGUCUUAUGGUUAAUGGAGACGGCCACGGCAGAAAAUGUCUUGACAUGAGUACAGCCAUGUUUGGCCGCUCCAUUGACCUACAGCCACCAGCACACAAAGAAAUAUAAAGCUGCUUUCUGUGUGUGGGAACUGGCCUUUUUCCCAGGAACUGGCCUUUCUCCCACGGAGAUAGUUGCAAUUUGUAAGAAUUUCAAGGUCCUUUGGGUGUCAUGGCCUGGGGCAGACUGGCCAUCUAUGCUGGGCUGGGGCGAUAACCAGAGAGAACAAUGCACGUACACAACUGCCGGGCUGGGACAAUAGCCAGGAGGCUCAGUGCACAUAUGCCACUGAUAGCCAUUUGUGCAUGAAAACGCUAAAUGCUUGCUCUGUAAACUCUGUAACUGCUUAUAUAAACUGCUGGAAACCGAGGCCUGGUGAGAGUUCCACCUGUGGAAGGGACACCUUGCCCAGGACAUGUGAUCCUCACCCAGCUGUAUCGACUAAAAGGACUCUCCUGGCAGUGGAGCGUGAAUGUUGUGAGUAAUUGAUUUGUUGUGAAGUAAUUGAUUUGUUGUGAAUAAUUGAUCUGAUGUGUUCUCUUUUUGGUCAACCUGGUGUUUCUCUUUCCUGUUGAUUUGUGUCAUGUCCCUUCAGUCAAUGUGUAUGUUUUCCCUUUCCAGUCGAUCUGAUGUUUUUUCCUCUCAUUGUAUAAUCUAUUCAAACCUGCUGCUAUCUCAGUCGACGUGAAUGUUUUCCCUUUCUAGUGGAGCUGAUGUUUUUCCCUCUUAAUAUUUGACCUAUUCGGAUCUGUUUGUGGACUAUCACCUUUACUCUCCUCUAUACAAUAAAAUAUACCUUCAGUCCAUUUA
Diceros bicornis minor is the source of this 1799-nucleotide long non-coding RNA. RefSeq lists it as uncharacterized. The record is from RefSeq and is a predicted model, not a curated record. NCBI's taxonomy places the organism in Eukaryota, Metazoa, Chordata, Mammalia, Perissodactyla, Rhinocerotidae. The transcript is spliced from 2 exons.